UGUCCGUAGGUGAACCUGCGGAAGGAUCAUUAUUGGAUUUUGAAACUUCAGGCUGCUGCUGGCUCUCCUCGGAGGGCAUGUGCACGCUUGUUGUCCAUUAUUUCUCCCACUGUGCCCAAAUUGUAGACCUUUCAGUAGGCCUAUGUUGUUUUUCACAAUCUCUGAAUGUAAUAGAAUGGUUUUGAAUCUUGGGCAAUACAAUACAACUUUCAGCAACGGAUCUCUUGGCUCUCGCGUCGAUGAAGAACGCAGC
RNAcentral lists this unclassified non-coding RNA (253 nucleotides) under plant metagenome. RNAcentral describes it as "partial contains small subunit ribosomal RNA, internal transcribed spacer 1, and 5.8S ribosomal RNA". The stretch from base 205 to 253 matches the Rfam family "5.8S ribosomal RNA", at positions 1 to 49 of the family's 154-position model. The record is from RNAcentral.